UGAAUUCUGUAUUAGACAGUAUUGCCCCCCACUCCCCCCACAUCCUCUCUAUCCUUCUUCCGAUAUUGCUCGUGUCUCUCACGCAGCCUCUACACAAAGGUUAUGUGGUGUUGGCGACUUGACGUGCGAUAGAUGCGCGUGAGAAUAGAGGCAUUUGCUUAUUCUUGUUUAUUGUAUCAGUAGCAUCAUCUCCUGCGUUACGUUCAAUUAUAUUUUAAGGGAGUUAAGGAGAAAAAAAAAAAUAGAAGUUAAAUUUUGUUAUAAAAAUGUUUAGUUGCUCUUUUGUUUUUGAACGACCCACAGUUUUGUUUUUGUUACAACUUCAUCACCAAAAUGAUUGGUAGAGAUGGGAGAAUCGAUCUAACGGUAGGAAUUGAUUUUUUAAAUCCUCUCAAACUUUUUUUUUACACUCUCUAUUGAAAGCCAUUUUGCAUUAAAUUUCUAGAACAUUUCAUAAAAUGUACCUAAAGAAAAAGGUUUGGAACUGACCAAUAAAUCUUGGAAACCCAUUGGGUAAAU
This 519-nucleotide long non-coding RNA is filed under the name Eutrema salsugineum. Its description in RNAcentral is "long non-coding RNA (ESAL_LNC000602)". Lineage: Eukaryota; Viridiplantae; Streptophyta; Magnoliopsida; Brassicales; Brassicaceae. The record is from RNAcentral.